This 211-nucleotide ribosomal RNA is filed under the name uncultured bacterium. RNAcentral describes it as "partial 16S ribosomal RNA". It matches the Rfam family "Bacterial small subunit ribosomal RNA", at positions 524 to 734 of the family's 1533-position model. The record is from RNAcentral.
UACGAAGGGGGCUAGCGUUGCUCGGAAUCACUGGGCGUAAAGGGUGCGUAGGCGGGUCUUUAAGUCAGGGGUGAAAUCCUGGAGCUCAACUCCAGAACUGCCUUUGAUACUGAAGAUCUUGAGUUCGGGAGAGGUGAGUGGAACUGCGAGUGUAGAGGUGAAAUUCGUAGAUAUUCGCAAGAACACCAGUGGCGAAGGCGGCUCACUGGCC